Molecule: long non-coding RNA, 5383 nt
Organism: Gasterosteus aculeatus (three-spined stickleback)
Lineage: Eukaryota; Metazoa; Chordata; Actinopteri; Perciformes; Gasterosteidae
Source: Ensembl
ACUUAAUUAGACAUAUGUGUAUAUAGAUGUGUGUGUGUGUCGGACUGACAGUCUUCCUUCGUCUACCUCCAUGUUCAAACCUCUCCUUCCACCCGGUGUUGGAUGCAUUGCUCUGCCUUCCUUCUCCCCUCUUGCCUCACGUCCCACCAUCCCCCUCCCGUCCCUCUGUCCUUCAUUCUCCGAGACGGACAUUAAAGCGAGCUUUUCCCCGGCUGACCUGCAGCUCACCCCUUACCUCCACACCAUCACACACCCCGGACGGAGGGCGAGUCACAAGAGCGGCCGUGCGGCGUGGAGCAGGACCCGGAUCUCGAUCCAGAUCUGGGUUUCCACGGGGAUCUUAUUCGGGCCUCUCUCGGGCGCAGACUCCGGACCGACUUGAUCAAAAUAAAGGAACGCGAGAUUGCGGGGGAGAGAGAAAGAGAGGAAUGUUGUAAAUCGUGUUUCCCAGGGAGAGAAGGAGAGAGACCUGUGAUUGCACUCAGGCGAGCGACUCCUCUCACAUGUGUCCGUUCUGGGGGGAGAAAGAGUGGAACCAAUUCUGACAGCCAUCUAAUUCCAGGCACGUGCUCCUUUCGGCUUUUCUCACGACCCUCAUUUGACGCAGUCACAUUGCUGACCUAUGGAUCCGUUUGUUUGGCGAGCACAAACUGCGGCUCAUGUGAAUCAGAUGUUCAGGAGAGGAGGCCGAGUGCUCCUCAGCUGCCCGGCAGCUUAGCCGGAGGAGGAGCACCUGUUUGCGAAUAAAUCUUCCGAUAAAAAAUGAUAUACUGUAGCUCGACGAUUCGUCUGGAAAUGUUGAAAUACACACUGCGCUUUCACUCCCACGCCCCCCCCCCCCAUCCAUCCCCCACGCACUCCCCUUAUCUUUAGUAAAACCCAGAAUUCAGGAUUCAAAGCAGAGGCCAGAGUCACAUGUCCGGCUCCGUUCCACACCACCGGCACUCGCCCUCUUCUGUGGCCCCCAACAAAGGACACCCGAACAGGGAGGAUUCCACCUUGAAGCUUUUGAAGCGUCUGGAAAAUAUUGAAGUGGGUUAGAAAUUUGAGCUAUUUAGUUUUUGCUCAACGGCUGCUUCUGGGUACUCGUGCUACUCGAUGCGAAACUUUACACUGCAACAAAAGAAAGUCAACAUGUAGUUUGCUGUCAAUGUCCACAAGGAUCAAACUUUUAAUUUAGCCGGACAAGUUAACUUUAGACUCAAAGUUUGUCAAAUUUGCUGUAGAAGACAGAAGAAAAACGAGUUGUGGCAAAUGGGGGCAACGAUAAAAUGAAUUCCAACAACCCGUGAGGUAAUAAUGUCUUGCGUGGCAUUUAAUGCAAAGGAGCUCGAAGUUAUCCAGCAAACCCGAGAUGAAGCUACAAUAAACCUUUUUCCUCAUAUUUAGUAGUACUCACCAAGUCGGCACAGGUUCCCUUUCACACACACACGUUAUUUAGUGUGUCUAUAUUGUCAUCUAGCAGGAUCCAAUUCAGGUUUGGCUGCUUCACUUUAAAUACCCAAUUUCAGCCCAAAGUAAAGAAAGAAGGGAGAAACCUUGUGCCAAAAGGUCAUAAAUUGUAGAAACAGAGCCGUGUUUGCAGGGAAUUGAGUGCCAGCAGAAGCUCCCUUAAAGAGCCAAGUGGUCCGUGCUUCUCCCAGAGUUUAACCCUCUCACCUCUCCUCAUUGGCCGCGCUUUUAUUCAGAGGGAUGAUUUAUUGGAGCUCACGAGGGAGAAAUACAAGACCGGCGCGGCCAUCGGCCCGGCCGGUGAUGAAUGGCCCACGCUGCUAUCUUCAUCUCGAGUGGGACCCUACGGCUCCAAUGGGCAAGUGUGGGCGGGGGGGUUCACUUGUGUGUGUAGGCUGGGGUGGUGUUUGCAUACAAUGCGCUGAUGGAGGGAGAACUCAUACGAACGUCUGUUUUGGUGGAACGGAUUUGGCUGAAUUUAAUUUUUUUUGCAAUAAAAUAAAAACACAAUGGAAAUAGUUUUUGAUGUCUUUAAUAUACUGUCUCCAUUUAUCUUUUUUUGCCCCCCCCCCCCCCCCACCUCCCCCUGCAUCCCUGGUCCCGCCUCCUGGAUGCCCCAAUCCAACACAAGCCCCUCUUCUCCCCAAAGGAAAUUCUUUGGAAAGUCAUUUUAUAUCACCCUUUGACUGUGCAUUGAACUGUAAAACCACCCCAUUGGAAACAAAAUAAAAGGAUGGCGAGGGGGGUGGCGAGGGGGGUGGGGCAAGGAGGAGAAUUAUAAUUCUUUGCAGGCCUUUGGUAUUAACCCAAACACCAGAGCUGUCAGCAGUUCAGAGAGGGAGGUGCGAGGGGCAAACAUUCAGUGUUAAUUGGCACUUUGUAAGCUCUGAGCCUUCCUUUUGUGAGGGGAAGUGGAAGAGAGUGAGUGAGCAGGGGGGGGGGGGGGGGGGGGGGGAGUGGUCAGCACAGAGGGGGGGGGAGAGAGAGAGGGAGAGGGAGCUCUUGUUCCUGUAGGUUUGUCGGGCCUUGUUGAGGGUGUUUACGGUUCACUUCUUAUCCCUUGUUAAUUGGGCUUUCUCGCCCCCCAAUGAAAAAAAGAAUUCAUGUAACCCCCCCCCCCCCCCCCCCCCCCCCCCCCCCCUGUCCCCCCCCCCCCCCCCCCCUCCCAGCCUGAUCAGCAACAGAGGGAUACAUGACCAGAGCAGGACAAAAGGAUCGUCCUGCGAACAUCAUUAAACUGAAACUGUGAGGGUCGGUGCUGCGGCGCUAAGCCCGCGCACAUACAAGUAGAGAAUAAAAUUAUCACAAGACAAAUAAUCAGCAGCAACCCCCCCCCCCCCCCCCCCCCCNNNNNNNNNNNNNNNNNNNNNNNNNNNNNNNNNNNNNNNNNNNNNNNNNNNNNNNNNNNNNNNNNNNNNNNNNNNNNNNNNNNNNNNNNNNNNNNNNNNNUAGGUGCAGGAUGUAAAAACAGCCCGUCGGUCCUCUUUGUGGACGCUCUCCUUCCCCCGACGUGUUUGGAGUUAUCGGAAAUAAUUAGAGAGGAAGAGAUCGGAGGGCAGCGGUCUCUGAAAGAGAGACGGGCAGAGGGGGGAGGGAGGGGAGGGGGGGGUGAGGGCAUGAGGCUGGUGCUGCACAGCACCCCUGGCCUCUCUCUGCCUCUGCCUCGCUCUCCCACCGGCUGAUGUAAAUGAUAAUAGCGCCGGUGCUGAAAGGACACAGGUGUCGACCAUUGUGCCUCUCUGAAUGGACCUGGGGGAGGGAGGUCAGGGGUCACGGGGCCUCUCACACCCACGGUUUUCAUUCACGCCGCCGCCCCCUUUCAUUAGCUUUCCACCCCCCCCCCCCCCCCUCCCCUCCCCCCUCUAUCUCUCCCCUCUUUUGUUAUCAUAGCUCAAUGUUUGGGGAAAACUUUUCAGCGGUCAAACACAAGCUCCGUGUUCAGGGAGAUUAACAUUCUCUUCAACAUAUUCGAGUGACACGACGACGCAGAUCCACGGCACGUUUUAACAAGGGGAGGCCAAUGAAAUUUGAUUUUUAAUAUAAGUUGCCUAUAAGUCACAUAUUACAAAUUACUGUAGUGGAUUUGCUUCACUACGAUGCUACAGUUGCUACAAAUAUUAUAUAUACUAUAUGAACCAAAUCUGAAUCUACUUUCCAUCGUGAAGGCCUUUAAAGGAAAUACGCCUCUUCACUUUCUCACUGAGCGAUGGGAAGAUGAUACCGCCAUCAUUUAAAUACAGAGCAGGAAACUGCAGUGAUCAGGUUAGCUUAGCUUAGCACAAAGACUGGAUAGAAAGUACCUCGAAAGAGGACUAAUUUACAUGCUACAUCUAAUCUGUUUUAUACAACAUUAUAUAUAUAUAUAUAUGGACAUGGACAUUGUCUUUUAUUUGCAUAAGAACGUUAAAAUGAUUUUGAGCUGUGGCCGAACAACUAGUGGCGACUGGUCCUAAUGCUAAGCUAAGCUAAUCGGCUGCUACCUCUGGAUACACAUUUCCACUACACACACACACACACACACACACACACACACACACACACAGGUAUCAACUUCUCCCUUAACUCUCAAAUAAUCGUACAACAUUUUGAAAUGUCAUUAAAAAAGAGUGAAUUAAAUCCAUUCAACUGAGCGACCAAUUACGCCAACAGCGUUUCUAACUGCAUCUUCUGGUGCGUGAAGUUUCGUUCGGUACCCGCCGUCUUUCUUCAAGGAGAGCCGUCUCCUGAUAACACAUCAGUGAGUUAACCUCACCUCAUGGUUCAGUCUCCCACUUCCACUUAUUCACAGCCCGUUGGUCUCAAGCCAGCGAAUGAUGAAUGUCACACGCACACAUGAGACGCAUACAAGCCGGCCGGCACGCAUGACACAACGCACGUGUGUGCGCGUGUCCAUCAAGGCCGCUCUCUCUGCAGCGCUCAAAGCAACCGAUGGGCGAAGCCGGACGGAGAUUUGUGGGCCGCUGUCCCUUUGUGCUCAAAGGAGCAGCACAAAGAAAUGGACCGUAAAUUGGGCGUCGGUGCUCGAUGGUGGAGGCGCCGUCGCCACGGGACAGGUGACUGUUUAUGGUCUGCAACGUGGAACUUCUGCCGCCUCAGCAAACGUGGUGCGCAAAUACUCAGCCGAGGACACGCGGAACCACCAUCACUAAACCCCCGGAAGUGGGAGUCCAACUGGCCAAUCGCGUGUGUGUGUGCACACGAAGCACGAAGGACGUGCAGCACGAAGAUGUGCACGAUCUUCGUGCUGCGUGUUGCGUGUGUGAUGCAGUGAGAUCCAUGCGUGGUGGAGAUGGAGACGCUGGAGAAGGGUGCGAGGACUCAUCCCCUGCCAUUGGGAUCACUAAUCUGUUGCAGGUGUCCCCCCCCCCGAGACGGAAGGAGCGCCAUCUGAAGAGCGAUUAAACCAUCUACGCAAUCCUGUCACAUCAUGUGUCAAGAUCCGGUUCCAUCUGUCAUAUUUCCGAGAGACCAAACACAAAAAAGUCUGAGAAGACGGCAAACUUUCAGAUUAAAGAUUCAGGGCCUGUUCGUGCUCAUCCGGGAGAGAAGGCUCUUUGUUUUGGUUCCGCAACUUUUCAAAUCGCACUAUAAUCUUUUGUCGAGCUGUUUGUGUGCGACAAUGACAACUCACUCUGAGUAUGCGGUGAAAAAAAACCAACCACUUUUAUCAGCAGGGCGCAACCUCUGGGAUGCAUUACAAUGAAGAACCGACCGGCAGGAUGGAUUGAGCCAACAGCCUCACGGGGGGGGGGGGGGGGGCCUGGGGUGCUUUUGGGGGAUGACGAACAAAGACACAAAGAGAAAGUCCCGCUCUGCAGGACGUCCGCGACGCCCCCCAGGGUCAACUUUGAGAGGAGAGCGGAGAACGGAGUGAGGCCGAGAAGAGUGGAGAUGGAGAGGAAAUCCAGCGGUGGAGAACAGUGAAGACGGG